This 2017-nucleotide long non-coding RNA is filed under the name Equus caballus (horse). RNAcentral's name for it is "lncRNA (ENSECAG00000033025.2)". The record is from RNAcentral. Lineage: Eukaryota; Metazoa; Chordata; Mammalia; Perissodactyla; Equidae.
UGUUGGUUAUCAGAGGUAGGUGACUUAGGGGCCCAUCCCUCAGUCGACAGCUGUAAAUGUUGGGGCACUAGAUGUGUGGACAAGCUUCUUCCAGGCAGAUACUUUUGACUUGGUUUCAUUGUUGGAACAAGCCAGGGGAAGAAGGUUGGGAUGUGCCCACUGGCUCUUUUGGGCUCCAGGACUAAUUGCAGUCAGCACCUAGUUGUGUGCUAAUUAGAAGCAGAACUCUCAGGCAGCAGCUGACAAAGCAUGCAGUUAAAUUCCUUCCAGGGAAAGACUGGAAGAUGGGCAUUUUUGCUUGAUCCUUCUACACUGAGCCCCAUGGGUUAACUUAGAGUGAGAGGCAGUGUCUGAAGCCAGGAAGAGAGCUCUCACCAGAAUCUGACCAUGCUGGCACCCUGAUCUUGGACUUCUGGUCUCCAGAACUGAUGUAAGUCACAUGAAGGUGGGGACUUUAUUUUGUCUUACUUCACUGCCUGCGUGUGCGUUAAAUGACUGAUGAAGAGCUGUGUGCUAAUGCUGAGAAACUCCUGACGAGGCUGAACUUGAGUGUACAGUCAACGAGUACGGUACUUGAGGGCCGCGAGGUUUGGAAUGAACUCCUGAAGAAUACAGAGGACGAGCAUCUGAAAUCUCCACUUCCCGUGAUUAAGCAGGCAGCAGGAUAUGCCUUUGCCACGCCUAUCUAAUGGCGGUUUGUUUGUUUAAUAUUAAAAUGUUGUUAGAGCUACGUAAGACAUCUGCGUUUCCUCCUGAUUCGUUGAGGCCUGAUGCAUUAAGCAUCUGUAACGCUAUUUCUUUUUAUGUCAUUAAGGGUGGGGAUGUGCUAAUGUAAAUACCAAUUGGGAAGCUUGAGUAAUUUUUCAAAUUUUUCAAUCAUGCUGUUUGCUGUAUUAUUAUUCUGGAUUAGUCUACUUUAGGUACAAUUUUACAGUAUCAUCAAAGUCGUACUCCAAUAUUUAGAUCCCAAAUGACAGAUUUAAUGGCCUUAGUUAACAUCCCCAUGAUGUAGGCUUAAUUUUAUGGUUCACCUGUUUUUGCUGUUUACUUCCCUGAGCUUCAGCCAAGCUGAAGAAACUGUAUGAAAGCAGAGUCCGAUUGUCCAUAAAAGAAAAUGCCACCUUCCUUAGAAAAAGGAAAACCUGGAUUCUCCUGAGUGGGCACCUGAAAGAGACUCUGCACAUGGGGCUGGAGGAAAUGUACACCCCACACUCCUGCGCUUCUGCCCAGCUGGAGGCAAAAGACUCCAAGGCUUUAGGCCAUGGUUAAGCCUGAAGACAGGAUGAGCCGGGAGCCCUGAAUUCGGCUUGAGGAGAGCAACUCAAGAAAGCCGGAGUUUUCUGCCCUCAUCAACUGGAUGUUAGUUCUCUCCUUGGACUGAUCUCUGCUGGCAGGUUGCUGUAACAUCCACAUACUUAUAUGCUUCAGGGUAAGAGGGCAUGAAGAUAGGUAUAGGAUUCAACUUUGCUCUAGAGCUUUCUCCAAUUUUAAAUGAAAAUCUUGCCCUUACGUCCUAGAAGAGGUCAGAUAACUCUUUGUGAAACCUCUUGAAAUAAAAAAUAGAAUAGAAGUUUACUCUACAGGCUGGAAUGUCCUUCUGAGUGUAUUAAACUAUGUCACUGGUCUCCCUCCCGUGAUGGGAGGAAGGAAACUCAGAGGAGGAAAGAGAAGAAAAGAGAAGGAGGGAGACAGUGGCUGAAGAAUGAGAUGUGAUGUGACCCUAAGUAGCGCCUCCUCUCCAACCACCCGCUCCUCUUUUCUCUGAGAUGCUUGCUCUAUAACAAUGCCUGUAACUCAAGGAAAUUGCUUCUGCCGCUUUUAUUCCCCAGGACACUUUGUCCCUUAAGGAAUUGUUCAAUUAAAGAGCUCUAAAAGGAUUGCAUUAACUGAAGAUAUCCAGUCUUCCUUUAUUUCUCAUCACCAAAAUGACAAAGACAGAAUCAGGCACCAUUAGUGCUGAUGUUUCAGUCCAUGUAGGUCUUCAUUAGGCCCCUUUAACAUAACCAUUGAAGGCGAC